This is a long non-coding RNA of Ictalurus punctatus (channel catfish), 1471 nucleotides long. Lineage: Eukaryota; Metazoa; Chordata; Actinopteri; Siluriformes; Ictaluridae. The record is from Ensembl.
UUGUUCAUUUGAAAGAAAAACAUCGUUUGAGCCAUAUAAAAUAAAUACACGUCCGUAGCUCCGACAGAAGGACAGAAAAAUGUAAAGAACCUGCAAAAACGUACAUUUUUUUAUUUAAUUAAUAUUAAUGAUUUAAUUAAGAUUUACAACUGCCAUUUAAUUUUUUUUUUCCUGGGGGGGGGGGGGUAUUUUUGUAAAUAAAUAUAAAUAAAUAUUUGCAUUUUAUGAAUAAUCGCAAUUUUUUAUAUAAAAAAAUUAACUUUAAAAAAAGUUAAUUAGCACUUGCUGAGUUUGAUUGGACAACGUGAUUGGACAAUAAUUUAACACGUUGUAUUGGUCACUCGGGAAUUUUUUUUUUCUUUUUUUAAAAACACAUUUACUGGAUAAUUUACACGUUGUGUGUUGAAAUAGUAAUACCUCAAAAAGUGUGUAGGAUAUGAACUCAUCCUUUCUGAGUACGCACGUCCCUGUGAACGAGCUGCUGUUAUAGAAAAUGAAUCAACACCACCCGACCAAUCAGAAUCCAGAACUGGACGCCCGACAGCGCUGCGGUGGAAAAUGUAUACCCAAGCGUAUUUGUCUCACUGAGAAAGUGUGACAGAAGAACGAGUUACUCACCGUGUCUCACUGAUCAUGACAUUAAAUAACACUCCUGCUAAUUACAGUGUGUGUAGGUGCGUCAAUAUGAUACCCUGCUGCUAACUCUCUCUCUCUCUCACACACACACACACACACACACCUAGAGACAGAGUACAGAGCGUGAUUGAUGCUCUACAUAAAACAUGUAAAGCUAACAUCUUUAGCGCUACAUUGUUUUUCCUCUUAGCUUCAGCUCACUGGUGUUAAACUCAUCCGCUAGCAACAUCCCCUACUGAUUUACACAUAUAUAAUAAUUAGCCUAAUGUUUGCUAGCUUGCUAACAAAACUGCACGAUUUAAAAAUAUAGAGAUUGAGAGAGAGUCAGUGUGAUUAACCUAUCCUUGUCUUUAGUUACAAAAUGGUUAGCCAAGUGAUAGCUAGCUUGCUAGUUAAACCGCAUACUUGUUUCAACAAAUACUGUAUAGCCAGUGAGAAUAAUCUAUCCUCUGCUUUUACUCACAAAAUCCUUAGUCUAAUGUUAGUGAUCUUACUAGCUAGCUAAUUAAACUAGUCCUAGCUAGCUUAAUACAUACUUGUGCUACUGGUGUUUAUUAUACAGUGUAAUAGUUAACCUAGUAUUAGCAAGGUAGUGAGAUUCACCUCUAGAAUGUUACGAAUGUUAGCUAGCUCAUUAGCUACUUGUGCUACUGCUUAACAUGAGGUAAUAGUCAAUCUAAUGUUAGCUAGCUCAUUAGCUACUUGUGCUACUGCUUAACAUAAGGUAAUAGUCAAUCUAAUAUUAGCUAGCUCAUUAGCUACCUGUGCUACUGCUUUAACAUGAGGUAAUAGUCGAUCUCAUGAGCUAGCUCAUUAUAGUCAUGAGGUAUAGUCA